AAUAGAAACAAAGCUCUGCUGCAGAAGUUUCAUGGAGAUUUCUGAAAUUUAAUGCAGGUCUUGGUCAAGAUAUUCGGUAUAAAAUUCAAACUACAAUAUCUGUAAAUAACAGCUGUUAAUUUGGGUGUAUAGUUUGGUGAUUGUCUGUGUGUUUUUAUUUUUAUUUUUUUUGUUCUUUUCUUUUUCAUGUUGGUAGUCUAGUGGGUCCUCCCUUUUCUCUGUAUAUGACAGCCUAAUCAACAGCCUGGAAAGAGUGGGUGCAGCUGAGCUAAAAGGGCGUGGUUGAUGGGUUUUCAUGGCGCCAUUCAUGUAAUCUCAACUGGGUUUCCUCCCUCAGCCAGACCCAGUUCAGUGGAUUUGCUGACUGCAGGCAUUUGGGUGUCUAGAUGAGGUAAGGGCACUGUUCUAAAAAAGCUUUGAUCUUUCUCUGUUUUGUGUCACAACAUUUCAUCUGCACCUGAGUUUUUGGUCCUUAUAUUAGGCAAAGCUGUUGAUUUCGCCGUGUUGGUCUGUAAUUUUUAAGAGAUUUUAGUGCUUUAGUUGCUGCCUGAGGUAGAGGGUGUCAUUGGUUUUGUUAGAUCUGGGGUGUUUGAAGAAAAAGGGUUCUUUAGGUGGGAGCUAUUAGGGCAUUGAGGGCUUACUUGUAGGACCUUUUGGGUCUUGUUGAGUUGAGUUUUUCAGAUCUUUGGUGGAUUGGAGGCUUGGGAAUUUGAAUUGGUGAGGUGUUAGGGUAGUUUCUGUUCUUCAAGGACUCAAGGGUUUGGGGUACCAGUACCACAAAAAUGGAGAAAGUGAAAUGGGGGCCUUUGAUUCUAGCCGUUAUUCUUUUGGGGUUCAUUGGCCAUGGAUCAUAUGCCUCAUUCACCCCCGUUGAUAACUACUUAAUUGCCUGUGGAUCUUCAAAGAACCUCACAUUCCAAGGCCGUACUUUUGUUCCUGAUUCAGUGCAAUCUUCAAUUGUAUUGAAAAGUCAAGCAAAUUCUGUCACUGCUGUCUCCAGUUCCACUGUCUUGCCUCCCAUUUAUCAAUCUGCUCGUAUUUUCUCCGGGAUAGCUUCUUACAAAUUUGAAAUUGAGCAGGAAGGGCGGCACUGGGUUCGUCUCUAUUUUUACCCUAUUUCCAACUCCAGCCAUGACUUGACGUCAGCCUCAAUAACUGUAGUCACUGAUAGUUUUGUGCUCUUGAACAAUUUCACUUUCAAGAACUAUAAUGGUUCUUACUUGUUCAAGGAGUAUGCAAUCAAUGUGACUUCGGAUACCUUGACCCUCACCUUCAUCCCUUUAAACAAUUCGGUUGCUUUUGUCAAUGCGAUCGAAGUUGUCUCUGUUCCAAACGAGAUUUUUCCUGAUCAGGCUCUGGCUCUGUCCCCGUCUGCUCCUUUUAGCGGCCUUUCUGAACUUGCCCUUGAAACUGUCUACCGGUUGAAUAUGGGGGGUCCUUUGCUCACUGCUCAAAAUGAUACACUUGGAAGAACUUGGGAGAAUGAUGAGAAAUACCUCCAUGUGAACAGCUCUGCCAAGAAUCUUUCGGUGAACCCUGGAAACAUAAAAUAUACUACUGCUGUCACAACAGAAACAGCGCCGAAUUUGGUUUAUUCCACUGCCGAAUCCAUGGGUAAUGCAAAUGUAAGCAAUGGGAACUUCAAUAUAACUUGGGUUUUCUCUGUCGAUCCAGACUUCAUGUAUUUUGUUCGGGUGCAUUUCUGUGACAUUUUGAGCACGUCUCUGAACAAUCUUGUCUUCAACUUGUUCAUAAAUUCUGAUAUUGCUCUGGAGAGUCUUGAUCUCUCAACCUUAACUGGUGAUUUGAAUGUACCGUAUUACAAAGACUUCAUCUCCAACUCUUCAGCAGAUUCAGAUGUUUUGACUGUUAGUGUGGGUCCAGAUACAAUGGCUGAUGUUACUAAUGCAAUUAUGAAUGGCUUGGAGAUCAUGAGGAUCAGCAAUGGAGCUAAAAGCUUGGAUGGGCUUUCUUCAGUUGAGAGUCUCCUUCCCCAACCACCCACAAAAAGGAACAUGAUAGGAAUCAUUAUUGGUUGUGUUGUGGGAGCUUCUGUUGUUGUGGUGUUCAUAAUUCUCUGUAUUUGCUGCUUUGUUGCCCGUAGGUCGAAGACCCCCACCCAGGGGCAUCCAUGGCUUCCCUUGCCCUUAUAUGGAAACUCCCAGACCAUGACGAAGAUGUCCACGACUUCUCAAAAGAGUGGAACAGCGAGCUGCAUCUCAUUAGCUUCCACCAAUCUUGGCCGGCUCUUCAUGUUCCAAGAAAUCAUGGAUGCAACAAACAAAUUCGAUGAGAGCCUGCUUCUUGGAGUUGGUGGUUUUGGUAGGGUCUACAAAGGAACGCUUGAAGAUGGGACUAAAGUAGCUGUCAAAAGAGGAAACCCCAGAUCUGAACAAGGUCUUGCUGAAUUCCGAACUGAGAUUGAAAUGCUAUCCAAGCUCCGUCACCGCCACCUUGUCUCUCUUAUAGGCUAUUGUGAUGAACGAUCAGAGAUGAUUCUGGUUUACGAGUACAUGGCUAAUGGUCCCCUAAGGAGCCAUCUUUAUGGAACAGAUCUACCAUCUCUCUCCUGGAAGCAACGACUUGAAAUUUGCAUUGGAGCUGCAAGGGGGCUUCAUUAUCUUCACACAGGUGCAGCUCAGAGCAUAAUUCACCGUGAUGUGAAGACAACAAACAUUCUCUUGGAUGAGAAUUUUGUAGCAAAAGUUGCUGAUUUUGGCCUCUCAAAGACCGGUCCUGCCCUGGAUCAGACCCAUGUAAGCACUGCUGUUAAGGGUAGUUUUGGGUACCUUGAUCCUGAAUACUUUAGAAGGCAGCAGCUCACAGAAAAAUCUGAUGUGUAUUCAUUUGGUGUGGUCCUAAUGGAAGUCCUCUGCACCAGACCAGCUUUAAACCCUGUUCUACCAAGGGAGCAGGUUAAUAUAGCAGAAUGGGCAAUGAGCUGGCAAAAGAAGGGUAUGCUGGAUCAAAUCAUGGAUCCAAAUCUGGUUGGGAAGGUGAAUCCAGCUUCUCUUAAGAAGUUCGGAGAGACAGCUGAGAAGUGCUUGGCUGAGCAUGGGGUUGACAGGCCGUCAAUGGGGGAUGUCUUGUGGAAUCUAGAAUAUGCUCUCCAGCUUGAGGAGACGUCAUUGGCUCUCACAGAACCUGAAGAUAACAGCACAAAUCAUAUUGCAGGUAUUCAGUUGACACCAAUCGAGCAAUUUGAGAACAGCGUUAGUAUGAUCGAUGGGGUGCACUCUGGCACAGACGAUGAUGCAGAAGAUGCAGCUACAAGUGCUGUAUUCUCUCAGCUAGUAAACCCUCGUGGAAGAUGAGAAGAAACAAUUUCCAUGAUAUUGUGAUCUCAGCUGCUGGAUGCCCCACUAAAGAUUUGGCUGACCUGGCCUCGAGAGUACAAUCUCCAAGUAAAUGCAUGAAGGUUAUUUCUAAGUUCAUUGUUCUGGGCUUUUACCUCAUUUUUUCAUCCAUAAUAUGUUUUCGGUUGUAAUAUAGUUGAUUGAUGGGUGCCAAUUAAUCCAUCAGAAAUUGUGCCUAGACCACAAGGAUUCUAUUAAUGUCUUGAUUGAAUUCAUUCUGAGUAUAUGGAUUGUAUUGGCAUUAUAAGUUUAUGUUCACAAAACGAGUACAGAAAAUAAGGCAGAGUAUGUUAUCUCUGUAGCAAAAAAUUUCUUGUGAUUUUAUAUCAUCUUUGUGUAAAAUUUCUUAUUGGCUGCACUAGUAUUUUUCAGAAUUAUGAGAAAUCCAUUCUAGGUUAGAAAGAUGAUCUUCUCUACCUGACUCUGGAGAAAAUGCAGGGAUGAAGUGAGAUCAAAGUGUUGAACCUUAAAUUUUUCUUUAUUGGGAACCAAGAAUACCCAGAAGUCUAAUCAGUGAGCCUAAUGUAAUGCUUUAGCCUUUAGCUAGCCUGGAGUUUCAUUGUUUUGGAGAUGGAAAAACAAUAAUGAGUAACUCAAAAUCUUGAAAAUGAUUUUCCUUGCCGUUUCUGUGUUAACCAAAUGAUGGUUAUGAGAAACCUUUUAUGAAUGGGGCUGCCAAUGUUUAUGAAUAUUUAGGUUGUCUCUUAACUUCUUAAGUUUAGUGCCUUCCCAAAUCCUCGAAAUUGCUUAGAUCGAAUACAUACAUUUAUUUUGCCAAGCAAAGGUAGAAAACACUGCAUUGAUUUUGCAUGUUUUGAUUGAACAAUGAGAAGGAAGAAAACUCCAUACUGAAUGAACUGGAAUUCAUUACUUAGGGCAGGACAGGGGGCUCCUUGCUCUCUGCCAGCCAACCCCAAUUAUUCUCAAGAGGCAUAAACUUCAAUUAUUCUGUCACUGUAUGAUUCAUUUUCUACAGACUAUUCCCAUCCCACUGGUGGCUCCACCAGUGCAGUCUAGUGUACCAUAGUCCAUAAUCAAUGUGUCCUUUUGGUCGAAAACUCCUGCUGGUGAGAACAAACAAGAAUGGCAAUCUGCAGAGAGAAGUGAUGUGGUUCGGUACUUGUCUUCACCUCCUACUACUGGCAUUGCUACGCCGGGCUUUACUGGAUUCUCAAAAUCUGGCUGGUAAGUCUGGCCUAGGACUCCCUCAACCUUGGACGAGAGGCCAAAGAAUCUGAACUGUACUUCCAAGUGGGCAAAACAGUCAUCAGAAGGUAUCUGGUAGUUAUGGAUUCUAUCAUCCUCCUUUGUAAUGGGCACAACAUUGAUUAAAAUCUCUGCAAUUUCUGGUAGAGUGACAACAACACUGUUUCUGUUUGAUGUUCUUUCCACUUUCAGGUCAUUUUCUGAGAAGUUCCAUGCAGAAAGAUGGCCUUCUGGUAUAUCUAGUUCCUUCCCAUCAUAAGAGAAUUUCAGAUGGUCAAUCUCAUCAUCCCAGGCCGCUGCUCGGGUAGCCUCCAGAGAGAAGGUGUGGGAGUCAACAAGGAUUCCCAGAGCUUGAAUCCAAGUAUAGUCCCGGGUUCUCCCAGCUGGACGGAGGCCAAUGAAGCGGGCAUUGAUCUGGAGGUUGAGGUCAGAGACCAAGCUGAAAUGCUCAUUUCUCUUCCCAUGGAAGUAGAAGACAAUGCCAUCUCCACCAAUGAACCGUGGAUCCAAGCACGCAGCUCCAGGACUGUUACAAUUUGCUUUACGAUCUAUGAUCAUCAAACCAAAACAUAAGGUCAGUACCAGACGUUUGAACACAGCCAAAGAAGUUUAAAUGAUGAAAGUGAAAUAGUUGAAGAGAAGACAUCUCACUCUUGCACUCAGCCUGGCAUAAGGGUUCGGCUUUCUGCAUUGAUUUGUGUUACACCAGCUACAAAGCAUAGCAGAAUGAUCAACAAACAAUUGCUGCUCAAGAUCUCCAUAGCUCGUCUUCAAUGGCAGAUUGAUCAAAACCCAUCUCUUUCAUGCUGUUUUGUAGAACCAGACAAGUGGGGUUUGCUUAUAGUGCUACUCUAUCCAUCAAGUGUUCUUUAAGCUUUCUUUUACAUAGUCUUUGACUGAAAUUUGAAGCAGGAACAUGGGCAUGGUUGGAUUUCUUAAA
Molecule: RNA transcript, 5502 nt
Organism: Vitis riparia (riverbank grape)
Lineage: Eukaryota; Viridiplantae; Streptophyta; Magnoliopsida; Vitales; Vitaceae
Gene name: receptor-like protein kinase THESEUS 1
Exons: 2
Source: RefSeq, a predicted model, not a curated record